This 492-nucleotide ribosomal RNA is filed under the name uncultured bacterium. RNAcentral's name for it is "partial 16S ribosomal RNA". It matches the Rfam family "Bacterial small subunit ribosomal RNA", at positions 29 to 507 of the family's 1533-position model. The record is from RNAcentral.
AGUGAACGCUGGCGGUAGGCCUAACACAUGCAAGUCGAACGGCAGCACAGUAAGAGCUUGCUCUUACGGGUGGCGAGUGGCGGACGGGUGGGGAAUACAUCGGAAUCUACUUUUUCGUGGGGGAUAACGUAGGGAAACUUACGCUAAUACCGCAUACGACCUACGGGUGAAAGCAGGGGAUCUUCGGACCUUGCGCGAUUGAAUGAGCCGAUGUCGGAUUAGCUAGUUGGCGGGGUAAAGGCCCACCAAGGCGACGAUCCGUAGCUGGUCUGAGAGGAUGAUCAGCCACACUGGAACUGAGACACGGUCCAGACUCCUACGGGAGGCAGCAGUGGGGAAUAUUGGACAAUGGGCGCAAGCCUGAUCCAGCCAUACCGCGUGGGUGAAGAAGGCCUUCGGGUUGUAAAGCCCUUUUGUUGGGAAAGAAAAGCAGCAGGUUAAUACCCCGCUGUUCUGACGGUACCCAAAGAAUAAGCACCGGCUAACCUCGCG